This 249-nucleotide ribosomal RNA is filed under the name uncultured bacterium. RNAcentral's name for it is "partial 16S ribosomal RNA". It matches the Rfam family "Bacterial small subunit ribosomal RNA", at positions 796 to 1041 of the family's 1533-position model. The record is from RNAcentral.
CACGCCCUAAACGAUGUCUACUAGUUGUUGGUGGAGUAAAAUCCAUGAGUAACGCAGCUAACGCGUGAAGUAGACCGCCUGGGGAGUACGGUCGCAAGAUUAAAACUCAAAUGAAUUGACGGGGGCCCGCACAAGCGGUGGAUUAUGUGGAUUAAUUCGAUGCAACGCGAAAAACCUUACCUGGCCUUGACAUGUACGGAACUUUCCAGAGAUGGAUUGGUGCUCGAAAGAGAACCGUAACACAGGUGC